GAAACGACAUCGAAAGCUUGCUUUUGAUGGGCGUCGACCGGCGCACGGGUGAGUAACGCGUAUCCAACCUGCCCACCACUUGGGGGUAACCUUGCGAAAGUAAGACUAAUACCCAAUGACGUCUCUAGAAGACAUCUGAAAGAGAUUAAAGAUUUAUCGGUGAUGGAUGGGGAUGCGUCUGAUUAGCUUGUUGGCGGGGUAACGGCCCACCAAGGCUACGAUCAGUAGGGGUUCUGAGAGGAAGGUCCCCCACAUUGGAACUGAGACACGGUCCAAACUCCUACGGGAGGCAGCAGUGAGGAAUAUUGGUCAAUGGACGAGAGUCUGAACCAGCCAAGUAGCGUGCAGGAUGACGGCCCUAUGGGUUGUAAACUGCUUUUAUAAGGGAAUAAAGUGAGUCUCGUGAGGCUUUUUGCAUGUACCUUAUGAAUAAGGACCGGCUAAUUCCGUGCCAGCAGCCGCGGUAAUACGGAAGGUCCGGGCGUUAUCCGGAUUUAUUGGGUUUAAAGGGAGCGUAGGCCGGAGAUUAAGCGUGUUGUGAAAUGUAGACGCUCAACGUCUGCACUGCAGCGCGAACUGGUUUCCUUGAGUACGCACAAAGUGGGCGGAAUUCGUGGUGUAGCGGUGAAAUGCUUAGAUAUCACGAAGAACUCCGAUUGCGAA
RNAcentral lists this ribosomal RNA (663 nucleotides) under uncultured Bacteroidota bacterium. RNAcentral describes it as "bacterial SSU rRNA". It matches the Rfam family "Bacterial small subunit ribosomal RNA", at positions 64 to 719 of the family's 1533-position model. Lineage: Bacteria; Pseudomonadati; Bacteroidota. The record is from RNAcentral.